ACAGUCCUACGGGGGGCAGCAGUGGGGAAUAUUGCACAAUGGGGGAAACCCUGAUGCAGCGACGCCGCGUGAGUGAAGAAGUAUUUCGGUAUGUAAAGCUCUAUCAGCAGGGAAGAAAAUGACGGUACCUGACUAAGAAGCCCCGGCUAACUACGUGCCAGCAGCCGCGGUAAUACGUAGGGGGCAAGCGUUAUCCGGAUUUACUGGGUGUAAAGGGAGCGUAGGUGGCAUGGUAAGCCAGAAGUGAAAACCCGGGGCUCACCCCCGCGGAUUGU
RNAcentral lists this ribosomal RNA (275 nucleotides) under uncultured bacterium. RNAcentral's name for it is "partial 16S ribosomal RNA". It matches the Rfam family "Bacterial small subunit ribosomal RNA", at positions 333 to 624 of the family's 1533-position model. The record is from RNAcentral.